GAGAGGGUGAAUUUUGACAGCAUCGGAGUGCUCCAAAAACUGAAGUGGUCAAAGAAUGGGGAAGCACUGCGACUCUGCCCUCAACGGUGUCAAGCUCCGAGCGGAGGACACGAUCAAACUAAAGUACCGCUUCGGCGUUGUGGCGAUUUCAACAGUUUUUAAAUUCCAAUUAUCGGUAGAAUGGGGUAUCAUCAGAGGCUGGAGCAGGGGUUGAACAAUGAAAAUGGGAGAGAAUUGAAGGGAGACAAUACUGGUAUGGUUGAUUGAGAGCCUAGGUCGAAGAACGAAACCGGAUCAAUCAAUUCACAUAGCGUCGAUAUCAUUGUGAAAGUUUCUUCCUUUUUCUUUUCAAUUUUCUGUCAAA
This 364-nucleotide unclassified non-coding RNA is filed under the name Hevea brasiliensis (rubber tree). Lineage: Eukaryota; Viridiplantae; Streptophyta; Magnoliopsida; Malpighiales; Euphorbiaceae. The record is from RNAcentral.